Molecule: ribosomal RNA, 305 nt
Filed under: uncultured bacterium
Lineage: Bacteria
Description: partial 16S ribosomal RNA
Rfam family: Bacterial small subunit ribosomal RNA
Source: RNAcentral
ACAGCAGCAGCCGCGGUAAUACGAAGGGUGCAAGCGUUAAUCGGAAUUACUGGGCGUAAAGCGUGCGUAGGCGGUUUGUUAAGUCUGUUGUGAAAUCCCCGGGCUCAACCUGGGAAUGGCAAUGGAUACUGGCAAGCUAGAGUGUGUCAGAGGAUGGUGGAAUUCCCGGUGUAGCGGUGAAAUGCGUAGAGAUCGGGAGGAACAUCAGUGGCGAAGGCGGCCAUCUGGGACAACACUGACGCUGAGGCACGAAAGCGUGGGGAGCAAACAGGAUUAGAUACCCCAGUAGUCCCUGUCUCUUAUAC